RNAcentral lists this ribosomal RNA (599 nucleotides) under bacterium enrichment culture clone F44x_F9_T3_A09. RNAcentral describes it as "bacterial SSU rRNA". It matches the Rfam family "Bacterial small subunit ribosomal RNA", at positions 47 to 681 of the family's 1533-position model. The record is from RNAcentral.
CUUAACACAUGCAAGUCGAACGAAGUCUUUCGAGACUUAGUGGCGGACGGGUGCGUAACGCGUAAGAACCUACCCUUGGGAGGGGGAUAACUAUCGGAAACGAUAGCUAAUACCCCAUAUGCUGAGGAGUGAAAGGGAGUGUAAACUCUCGCCUAGGGAUGGGCUUGCGUCUGAUUAGCUAGUUGGUGGGGUAAUAGCCUACCAAGGCCACGAUCAGUAGCUGGUCUGAGAGGAUGAUCAGCCACACUGGGACUGAGACACGGCCCAGACUCCUACGGGAGGCAGCAGUGAGGAAUUUUCCGCAAUGGGCGAAAGCCUGACGGAGCAAUGCCGCGUGGAGGAUUACAGCCCAUGGGUUUUAAACUCCUUUUCUCGGAGAAGAAGCAGUGACGGUAUCCGAGGAAUAAGCAUCGGCAAACUCCGUGCCAGCAGCCGCGGUAAUACGGGGGAUGCAAGCGUUAUCCGGAAUGAUUGGGCGUAAAGCGUCUGUAGGUGGUAGUUGAAGUCUGCUGUUCAAGACCAGGGCUUAACCCUGGACCGGCAGUGGAAACUCAGCUGCUUGAGUGCGGUAGGGGCAGAGGGAAUUCCCGGUGUAGCGG